Molecule: ribosomal RNA, 447 nt
Filed under: uncultured bacterium
Lineage: Bacteria
Description: bacterial SSU rRNA
Rfam family: Bacterial small subunit ribosomal RNA
Source: RNAcentral
UCGGGAAUUUUGGGCAAUGGGGGAAACCCUGACCCAGCAACGCCGCGUGAAGGAUGAAGUAUUUCGGUAUGUAAACUUCGAAAGAAUAGGAAGAAUAAAUGACGGUACUAUUUAUAAGGUCCGGCUAACUACGUGCCAGCAGCCGCGGUAAUACGUAGGGACCAAGCGUUGUUCGGAUUUACUGGGCGUAAAGGGCGCGUAGGCGGCAUGACAAGUCACUUGUGAAAUCUCUGGGCUUAACCCAGAACGGCCAAGUGAUACUGUCGCGCUAGAGUGCAGAAGGGGCAAUCGGAAUUCUUGGUGUAGCGGUGAAAUGCGUAGAUAUCAAGAGGAACACCUGAGGUGAAGACGGGUUGCUGGGCUGACACUGACGCUGAGGCGCGAAAGCAAGGGGAGCAAACAGGAUUAGAUACCCCAGUAGUCCCUGAGCGGGCUGGCAAGGCGCAU